AUGGCCAUCGUGCUUGUUGCCGCUAUGCCGGCAGUGAGCUCGAUAGACAUCACAGAUAGGGACCUGGGGUCAGAGGAGUCCAUGUGGGCACUAUAUGAGCGUUGGUGUGAGCAUCUCAAUGUGGAUUGUGACCACGGUGACAAGGCUCGGCGAUUUAACGUGUUCAAAGAAAAUGCUCGCAUGAUCCACGAAUUCAACCAAGGUGAUGCACCCUACAAGCUGAGCCUAAACCUCUUCGGUGACAUGACCGAUGAAGAGGUUGACCACGUGUACGGUCACUGCUCUAACCUCACGUCAGAUGGUGGGAACCGGCACCAAGGCAAGUUCACACAUGGCGUUGUUGUUGCGCGCGACGACCUCCCAAUGUAUGUGGACUGGCGCAUGAUGGGUUAUGAUCAACGCCCAUCAGCGGUGACAAGCGUGAAGCGGAAAAUUGGCUGUCGGGCCUGUUGGGCCUUUGCAGCAACGGCGGCCGUGGAGGGCAUCAACUCUAUUAGGACCAGGAAGCUGAUUCCAUUGUCCGCGCAACAACUUGUAGACUGCGACAAGAAAAAUUUCGGCUGUCGUGGCGGCAACGCACAAUUGGCCUUCAAGUACAUAAAAGAAAACGGAGGCAUCACCAGUGAUGCUAACUAUCCGUAUGUUGCCUUUGAGCAGGGUCGUUGCUUGGUGCCAAAAAAGAACCCCAUCAUCACCAUCGACGGCUUCAAACGGGUGCCGCCAAAUGAUGAGCUGGCCUUGAUGCAGGCGGUGGCAUCCCAACCGGUCGUUGUGGUAGUUGACCCGAAUGGCUUCCGGCGAUACGGGGGAGGCGUAUUUGUGGGGCCGUGUGGGACGAAUCUGACCCAUGAAAUGAUAGUGGUGGGCUAUGGCACCACCGAUGAGCAUGACCUCAAGAGACGUGUAGACUACUGGAUCAUAAAGAACUCAUGGGGGGCAAAAUGGGGUGAAGACGGCUACAUCCGCAUGGCACGCGGCGUGAGCGGUCUCACCGAGGGAUUAUGUGGCAUCCUGAUGGAAGCGUCAUACCCAGUGAAAAAUUAA
Molecule: ribosomal RNA, 1044 nt
Filed under: Triticum aestivum (bread wheat)
Lineage: Eukaryota; Viridiplantae; Streptophyta; Magnoliopsida; Poales; Poaceae
Description: partial small subunit ribosomal RNA
Source: RNAcentral